CCCAGAGUCACUAGGAGAAAUCACCAAAACUAAAGAUGAGUGCCCUGCCUUACUGCUUCCUUCUGUGGCUGCAGCUGCCUAACCUAGGUGAUGGGACUGCUUAUCUCCAUCCAUCACACAGGGAGCCUCUGGUACACAACAGGGGCCCCUUUGACUCAUCUGAGGUGAGUGGAGAGAGUUCUGUCUUCAGAAACUCUGCCUACAGCAAGAUCUUCCUACAAGUGCGAGCUGGGCAUCUACCCAGGACCUGCAACCAUGUGUGUAUGCAUGUUCCAUGCACGCUCCAUCUGGAUUUCUUCCAAUGCAAAGGUUUUCAGAGAACAAUUGCAAUUCAAAUGUAGAUGCAAAGUGUGACAGACUCAAAUGGUAAUCUUAGGGGUAGAAGGAUCAGAAUAUGUGUAAUCUCUGGCAUUUUUCUCCUUCAAUGCCUACUGUUUUUGUUUCACCAGGCAAUAACUUCCCCAUACAAUGGGAUUCUCAAAGCCUUGUAAUGACACAAAUUACAGUUUAGUUUCAGUCUGUUUCACAGUAUUGGUUCCAUUCUCAAAUGAACAGCUUCUCUGUGGAGUACAAUCUAACAGGCAAGCAUUUAUAUCUGAGAGCAUGUCCCACUGUCAGGACAGGGGGAUUUCUUGGCAGUACAUGGUACCUCUCAGACAUAGCUUGCAUCUGUGCCAGGAUGCUGUCUGGUCCCAGCCAGUAGGAUGCAUGAGUGACAGUAUUUGCAAGAUGCUUUGCCUGACUGAACUCUGGUAAUUUACUGUAAACUAACACUUUUGUGGUUAAAUGGUAUAUUUUUCUUUGCAGUAUUGAAAGAGAUACUUUGUUUAUCAGUGUAUACACACAUAUUGAGAGGAAGCGUCUGUAUGAUUUCAAAUAUCCCUAGGGUAAGAAAUGGCCCUUGUUUGAUUCACUGCCUAGCUCUCUGGAAGGGUUGACAUUUGGACUUACACAUCCUUUUAGCUCUUAGACUGAGCAUGCUACUCUUCGGCUUCUUCCCUCCUGCUCAGAUGGUGUUUCACUGCAGUAUGGGGACUGCUGUGAAUGGUAGCGAUGAGAAUCAUAGAAUCAUAGAAUGGCCUGGGUUGAAAAAGACUAUAAUGACCAUCUAGUUUCAAUCCCCCUGCUAUGUGCAGGGUUGCCAUCCAGUAGACCAGGCUUCCAGAGCCACGUCCAGCCUGGCCUUGAAUGCCUCCAGGGAUGGGGCAUCCACAACUUCCUUGGACAACCUGUUCCAGUGCGUCACCACCCUCUGUGUGAAAAACUUCUUCCUAAUAUCUAACCUAAACCUCCCCUGUCUCAGUUUAGAAACAUUCCCCCUUGUCCUAUCACUGUCCAUGUUUGCUGUGACUCCUGAUGAGCCUGGUCAUGCUGUGAAGGGAUAGCUACAGACUGGAACAGUUAUUCCAGUGUGAAAUGUCUUCCAAGCCUUCCUCCAUCUCAGCCUUUUCACUUCCUUUUCAACUAUUUCUUUGAUCGUGCUCCCCUUUUCAAAGAAAGAGAUAAAGGUAAAAUAAGCUUGAGAACUAACUGUGGGACUAAUAACAGCCAUUUACUACUAUUAUAUAAUUUGCUCUGCUUGUGUCUUACCCUUGCAUUUGUGUUGUUUAUUUAGAUUGCAAGCUCUUGAGGAUUGCUUGACUGUGAUGUUUGUACAAUACCAUGGUCUGGCUCUGCUUUUGCUUAAUUGUAAAUGACUCUCUUCAAAAACAUAGACAGAGUGUAAGAUCUCUUGCUCCUAGAGAGGAGAGCCAGGAAUCAUUGCUAUGGCACCUUCCACACCUGUCCUGUAAGCAAGAAAUAACUUUUCAGAGAUCUCAUUUAAUUCACUUUUCACAAUAGCUAAAUUUGCCACAAAAGAGAAGACCGCAACCGAGUUCUUCACUUCUCCUUGCCCCGUUUCUAAAUAAAGGAGAGGUAUCCUGACA
This 1928-nucleotide long non-coding RNA is filed under the name Phasianus colchicus (ring-necked pheasant). Its description in RNAcentral is "lncRNA (ENSPCLG00000003510.1)". The record is from RNAcentral. Lineage: Eukaryota; Metazoa; Chordata; Aves; Galliformes; Phasianidae.